CCAUGGUGGUGGCCGGGGCCAUGGUGGUGGCUGU
Regulatory RNA element from Corvus brachyrhynchos (American crow), 34 nucleotides. It matches the Rfam family "Prion pseudoknot". Rfam says of the family: This family represents a predicted pseudoknot structure found in prion protein mRNA. It has been suggested that the family has a possible effect in prion protein translation. NCBI's taxonomy places the organism in Eukaryota, Metazoa, Chordata, Aves, Passeriformes, Corvidae. The record is from Rfam.